CCUACGGGAGGCAGCAGUGAGGAAUAUUGGUCAAUGGCCGAGAGGCUGAACCAGCCAAGUCGCGUGAGGGAAGACGGCCCUACGGGUUGUAAACCUCUUUUGUCGGGGAGCAAAGAGAGUCACGUGUUACUCAUUGAGAGUACCCGAAGAAAAAGCAUCGGCUAACUCCGGUCCAGCAGCCGCGGUAAUACGGAGGAUGCGACGGUUAUCUGGAUUUAUUGGGUUUAAAGGGUGCGCAGGGGGGGGUGCAAGUCAGCGGUAAAAUUGCGGGGCUCAACCCCGUACUGCCGUUGAAACUGCAUCCUUGGAGUGCGCGAGAAGAAUGCGGAAUGCGAGGUGUAGGGGUGAAAGGCAUAGAUAUCAGGCAGAACACCGAUGGCGAAGGCAGCAAACCGGCGCGCAACUGACGCUCAUGCACGAAAGCGUGGGUAUCGAACAGGAUUAGAUACCCUGGUAGUC
RNAcentral lists this ribosomal RNA (459 nucleotides) under uncultured bacterium. RNAcentral's name for it is "partial 16S ribosomal RNA". It matches the Rfam family "Bacterial small subunit ribosomal RNA", at positions 338 to 795 of the family's 1533-position model. The record is from RNAcentral.